Oryza meridionalis is the source of this 202-nucleotide non-coding RNA. Lineage: Eukaryota; Viridiplantae; Streptophyta; Magnoliopsida; Poales; Poaceae. The record is from Rfam.
UUUAAGUGUAGUUGUGAGUUUCUAUGUCCAACGUUUGACCGUUCGUCUUAUUUGAAAUGAUUUUAUGAUUAGUGUUUUUAUGUUGUUAGAUGAUAAACAUGAAUGAUACUUCAUGCAUGACUUAAUUUUUAAAACUUUAUCAUAAAUUUUUCAAAUAAGACGGACGGUCAAACGUUGAACACGAAAACCCACUACACUUACA